UAGGGAAUCUUGGGCAAUGGGGGGAACCCUGACCGAGCAACGCCGCGUGAGUGAAGAAGGUUUUCGGAUCGUAAAGCUCUGUUGUUAAGGAAGAACGAGUGUGAGAAUGGAAAGUUCAUACUGUGACGGUAUCUAACCAGAAAGCCACGGCUAACUACGUGCCAGCAGCCGCGGUAAUACGUAGGUGGCAAGCGUUGUCCGGAUUUAUUGGGCGUAAAGCGAGCGCAGGCGGUCAAUUAAGUCUGAUGUGAAAGCCCCCGGCUCAACCGGGGAGGGUCAUUGGAAACUGGUUGACUUGAGUGCAGAAGAGGAGAGUGGAAUUCCAUGUGUAGCGGUGAAAUGCGUAGAUAUAUGGAGGAACACCAGUGGCGAAGGCGACUCUCUGGUCUGUAACUGACGCUGAGGCUCGAAAGCGUGGGUAGCAAACAGG
This 430-nucleotide ribosomal RNA is filed under the name Bacteroidota bacterium. RNAcentral describes it as "Bacteroidetes bacterium partial 16S ribosomal RNA". It matches the Rfam family "Bacterial small subunit ribosomal RNA", at positions 355 to 776 of the family's 1533-position model. Lineage: Bacteria; Pseudomonadati; Bacteroidota. The record is from RNAcentral.